AAAUGAACUCAAACUCUUUAGUUUAAAUUUAAUCCCAACAAAAGUUGCAAUAAACUACACUGUAAAAACGUGUAGUUGUGUCUAACUUCUGAUCUUUAAGUCAAAGAAAUAUUGCAGGUUUAAGAUUUUGAACUCAAUUAUGUGAGUUUUGAAAGACAAACUUACAGCUGUGAGACGUGUUAACUUUUUCCUCAUUUUGUCAUACCUCCAAAAGUUGAGAGAGCUCAGGAUUUUAAGUGAGCAUUUAAAAAACAAACAAACAAACAAAAAAAGAACUGAAUGAGGGAGUGGGAACUAUUUCCCAGGGUGCUUUGCAUCACCUGUUUGUAUCGAAGAUGGAUGUGUGUUACACCGACCCGCCUCUUGUGUGUUAUCAAGGCAGAUGUUUGUUCAAUCUGACUAAAAUUCAAUAAACUGCAUUUUAGACAUUUUUCUUCAAACUUACAAUCAAUAAUCAAUCUUAACUCAAUAAGGUAAUUCAGAAUGAUACAGAAAUUUAUGACGACGACUCACAAUUAAAGAUUAAUGCACUAUCAGAACUAAAAGAAAAACAAACCCCAAAACAAAAACAAUGUUUAGACUAAUUGUGUUUUGCUGAAUCCUUUUUUGAUGAACUUUUCAUUUUUGAAUUAAAACCAGAACGAUUCUCCCAUUGACUUCACUUGCAUCUCCAACCUUCGUUGUCGAGCCAAAACCCACCUUCGGAUGUUUUGCAGUGUACUUAUUGAAGAUCUGUGCCUGUUUGGGUCGGAAACGUCAAAUCAGCGAUGGAGGCGUAACACACAGCGAGUACGGCGACUUCAGCCUGGAGGCGCGCUGAAUGGAAACGGCUUCCGAGUUUAAAUCCAGUUUGUAGGUAACUGCGAGUUCAUUAAGAAGCGGGCUGAAGGGGGCCGGGGCGGCACGCGCAUCAGGAACAGUUUGUUAAUUUUCAUAUGCAAAACGUCUGAAAAAGAAAAAAAAAAAACCUUGGGACAUACGGAGAGUCUGAGCUCAUCAUGAGGGGAAACAUGAUACCAACCGGACCCUCGGUCAGGAGAAAACACGCAGCCGGCUCAGACUUCAGACGGCUGCCUGCGUGUGGCUGCAUUCUGACCGGGUCGAAGGUCAAACGCAGAAGCCGCGAGCGUGAUUACAUAACGGAGUGGGAGCGAGAUGUACUGGAACGGAUCAUUCUGUGUCCCAGACGCCACACCUUCAAACAAUCCUUUCAACAUGCCAGCUUCAUUUUAUGGGAGGUAAUUUUGAAGACGCGCAGCCUGGAAAACCUCAGACAAACACACCAAACCGGGAUGAGUAACUCGGCCUCUGAUGCAUGGAAACAACACAAGUCCCGCUUCGCAACGUGACUCAGGAUGCAGUUGGGGGGAAGGCGGGAGGAGAGAAAUAACCGAAUAGCUAUGCGGUGAGGCAUCUUGAGACCCAAACCGCUUCCAGGACGCGAUGUGAGACGGACGGUGGAGGAUUGAGGACAAAAAGGACAAAGCAGAAUGCGGUUGGACCUGCUCGUUGCUCUGGGUGUGGGCUACCCCACCCCGCAGAGUGGAAACCUAUUGGAUGUUGAGCCAUGCCAUGGCAAAGAAAGGGGAGGGCAGGAGUUUGGUCACAACAUGUCUUUAAAAUCCCAACAGAAGAAACGGACCAAACAGGUGCCUGUAAAAGCCCUGGAGGAAAACCAGUAGGAGAGGCCAGUGGGUCAGUUACCUGACAAACCAGAGCGGUGAUGAAGUGUGACUCGCAGCCUUGCAGAGAUAUUACAACCCCCCGAACUCGCUUUAUCUCACGUCUUACAACCAACUUCAUUGUAUUUAAUGGCUAUUUUGUGCCAGACUAACUUGAAAUAUUGCAUUUUUUAUUUAUUUAUUUAUUUUUUACAAAGGCACAAGUCUAAACCGACAUGUUAUAGUAAAUUACUGAAAAUAAGCCAAUUAAAAUGAAACAUUAUGGAUUCAACAUCAAUUGCUAGCACAGCUUAGCAUAGCAUUAAAGGAGUUAUCACUUUUCAUUGCAUGUGAUUUUCUUAAAGCGACUGAAUUGACGAUACAUUUUUAGAAAGGUAAAACUCCCUUUUUGUGAUUUAAAAUGCAGCGCGUUUUUAUUCUCGGCUUUCAAGCCUUGCUACAGAUUUUCAGAAGGAGUUGAACCGCCACGCCCGGAUGCACCGAUCCACUUUUGUCACUUCUGAUACCGAUGUCUGAUUCUUAGUAUCUGCAGAUACCGAUUCGAUACAGAAAAACUGGAUUGACUAAACACUUUUCUUUGUAAAAAAAAAACCAAACAAAACAAAAAAACGCAGACAUAAAUGUACAGAAUUAUACAUUUAUUUGAUAACUGCACCGGUGCAACACACUUACAUACAUUGAUAGAUUCACAAGCCUGGUCAAACAUGUAAAAACAACUUUAAUUUGUUCUGUCAGUGCAAUUAGGAGUAACAUAAAUAAUAAACUGAAACAAACAAAAACAAUAAGUUGAUUAUCUUGGCCCAACAUGCACAAAAUAAACCGGGGAAAAAAAGUAGUAAAGUUUUGAACAAAAAUAAUUUAUGUUCUUCAAAUGUUUCCUGCAGAACAGCUUUUUUCCCCACCAUGUUCCCACUGAGCUGCUCUGAAACAUUAUUAUUGCUUCCAUGUAAAAAAAAAAUCAUGUUGGUCAAAUUCAAAGGUCACUUCAAACCUAAAUUUGUCAAACUCUGAUCGGUGUGCCUAUUUUAGAAAAGCAUUCCCACAGCAUGAUGCUGCCAUCACUUCUUUAGAUUCUUAGAGCUCAGGAUUAAUAGUUGAGCUGUCCACAGAACCUCUGUGUCCCAAUUGGGGGAUUUUGUGGCAGCAAGUUUGUCGCGCUGGAUUUGAUCCACGGGUGCGAGAGGAAAAGGGCGGAACACAAAUGCACACCGCACUUAUCAGAUCUCUUUUUGCAGAAAACAAAUUAAGAGGCAUAAAUCGUGUCGGUCGACCGCAUGAAACAAACAACAAAACAGAUAGAAUUUUUUUUUUUUUUUUUUGUGGUUGCAAGGUGACAGAUUGUGGGAAAGAGGUGGGGAAACUUUGUCAAGCCUUUUGUCCGCUGUCCCAGCUGACAGCAGCUGCGUUAAAAAUGACUUCCCCUCGCAGGGCGGAAGGACUAGUUUUGGAUUUAAACCCGCUGUCAGAAAGCUGGAUUUGCUCUUCAAACAACGACCCACCCUGCACUUUGGCAUUUUGACAUUUUUAUUUUAUUUUAUACAGUGGAAACAUGACUUAAGAGGUGGCCGCUUUCGAACAAGGACUCCACUGUCAUGGCGCGGACUCGGCUGAGUCACGCAUUACCAAAUUAACGGCCGCCUGUUUGUCUCACUGCUGAUGCUAACCACUGAUGUCGGCGUUCAAUCAUCCUGAGAAGUGUGAGGCAUCGGAUCUGAAGAGAUGGAGCUAAACAAAACGCAGCCCAAAUCCCACCCCACCCCCCAAAAUGAAAGGUGUGCGCAAGAGAGGAGUAAGGAGAAUUUCAAAACAAAAGCCUGAAGCCGGCCCGACCGCUGCCAUGUCACUGCUGGCCUUUUCUUUUUGCACAAUCACAAAUCUCUGCAGUCUGUGGUCGGCGGUCUCAUUCCUUUGUCGUUUUGCACAACGUCGUACCCAGCCCUGAGAUUUCUUCACUUUAAAAAAAAAAGAAAAGAAAACAGCCCUCGGGCUCAUUUACAGGAUUUACAGGGAGGAGGAGGGAUUGCAGGUGAAAUACUUCUCUGAAUGAGGCAGAUCACACAAAAGGAGGGGAGGUAAGAGUUAGUGUUGCAACUCCCACCUGACCUGAGGCUGUUGAGCAACUGAGAA
Xiphophorus couchianus (Monterrey platyfish) is the source of this 3809-nucleotide long non-coding RNA. RefSeq lists it as uncharacterized. The transcript has 2 exons. The record is from RefSeq and is a predicted model, not a curated record. Lineage: Eukaryota; Metazoa; Chordata; Actinopteri; Cyprinodontiformes; Poeciliidae.